UUACCGAAAAAGGCUUUCGCCCCGCUUUAUAUAUAAAGCAAACCGCCCAAGCCAAACAUCCAACAUAGGUCCACAACACACACACACACACACACUAGGAGUCCACGAGAACACAGAGUACAAUCUGGGUUAAUGCUGAGGGCACAGCUCAACAAGCCCUGAAAACAUAAAAAACACAAGGCACAGAAGUGCCGGAUCGCAAGGCGCGGAACACAUCCAGCGUCUCAGGGAGAAGGCGCAAGCCUAGUCGGGCUCCGGGGGUGGGGGCGGGAGAGGAGGCGCCACUCGGAAGGCCAUCGCGCGGAGGUCGGCGAGGAGGGUGUCGAUGGCGUCCCGGUCCUGGGGCCGGCUAAGCGGCCGCCAAAGCUGCAAGUAACCACACAAUUUGAAGAUUGCGUCAGUCGCACGUCGAAGAGGCGUUUUUUGGAUGACAAGCUUGUUGCGAAUGGUCUAGAGAGUCCAGGAAAGGACCCCCACACGCAGCCACCUAAUGUGGCGGUGACGGGGGGCGGAGGCUUGGAUUUCCGCCAGCAGGUCCUGGAAGUUGGUGUUGCACCAACGACCACUGACCGUCUCGCGGAAGCAAGCCCACAGGAAUUGGGCCGAGACGCACGAGAAGAAGAUGUGGUUGGCAUCCUCAACCGUGCCACAUAAGGGACAUCCCAUCACCCGGGCCAUUGCGCUUCAGGACCUCAACCCCAGAGGGUAGGUGGCCCCGGAUCUACUGCCACAAGAAGAUCCGGAUCUUCAACAGCAAGCGGAUGUCCCAGAUCAGGCUAAGGCUCAGGGGCCUGAGAAGGAGCAAUGGCCGGAUAAAGGGACUUCGUGGAGAACCGUCCCGAAGGCUCCAGACGCCAUGACACGGAGUCAGGCGCGCCAUCCAGAUCCAAAGGCUGGAGGGCGAUGGCCUGGAGGAGAGCGUCCCAAGCGGCAACCUCGAGAGGACCGAAGGGGCGACGGAAGACGAGCCGCCCUAAGUCAAAAGGGCCGACUCGACGGAGACCCGAGGGUCAACCGCAAUGGAGAAUAGCUCCGGGAAACGGGCGGCCCGGGGGGGGGGGGGAGUCCCCCAGCCACCGGUCAAACCAGAACAGCGUCGCGGACCCAGAACCCACCUCAAUGGAGGUACCAAUACGGAGAACAGGAAGGAGCUGCCGAGCUGGAUCACAGCCUGCCAAAACUGGGAUCCACCGGAGCGCUGAC
Molecule: long non-coding RNA, 1203 nt
Filed under: Triticum aestivum (bread wheat)
Lineage: Eukaryota; Viridiplantae; Streptophyta; Magnoliopsida; Poales; Poaceae
Description: long non-coding RNA (TAES_LNC015884)
Source: RNAcentral